AUGGUGAGUAAAUCUAAAGCCAAUGAAGGCUUUUAGUGUACGAAUUCAAGGAAUAUAGAGAUUAUUUCGAGGCUAGGAAUAGUAAUUCAUACGAAACAAGGAGUAAACUUAUUGUAGGAUCUUAUAGCACAACAAAUGGCAAAUAAGCAUUGUAGGAUUUGAAAGGGCUUAAUAGUCCAAGAGAAAUUUAUUUACAAUGUACCAUUUUAUCUCAUGAUUUAAUGGUUUUUUUGACAUUGAAGCCUAUGGUUUUCCCUGAUUACGGUGUUCUUUAACUAUCAUUUUGUGAUGAUGCCUUCCCUAGAUAACAAAUUUCAUAGGCUUUAUUUAGGAGAGGGAGGAGAAUGGAAUCCUCCCAAAGUCCCUCCAACUUCCAUUUUCCUCUCUCCCAAAUAGAGGGUAAGAGUUGAGGAAAUGAAACAUCAUCUUGGAAAUGAUUAAUCAUAAAUUGCUCUAAUGAAUUUUGUGUGACCUUAAUGUCAGUCUUUUGAAUCACUUGGUUUCUGAAUGUGCAUUUGGUGUUAGAAGGAUGGCAUUGUUAAAUUCUUGAUAUGUUUGAUAACCAACACUAUUUAUAUUGUUCAGUACUAAUAAAUAUUGAAAAGAAUCAUGAAAUACACUUUAGGAG
RNAcentral lists this unclassified non-coding RNA (628 nucleotides) under Hevea brasiliensis (rubber tree). The record is from RNAcentral. Lineage: Eukaryota; Viridiplantae; Streptophyta; Magnoliopsida; Malpighiales; Euphorbiaceae.